RNAcentral lists this ribosomal RNA (385 nucleotides) under uncultured bacterium. RNAcentral describes it as "bacterial SSU rRNA". It matches the Rfam family "Bacterial small subunit ribosomal RNA", at positions 28 to 416 of the family's 1533-position model. The record is from RNAcentral.
GACGAACGCUGGCGGCGUGCUUAACACAUGCAAGUCGAGCGAUGAAGCACCUUCGGGUGUGAAUUAGCGGCGAACGGGUGAGGAACACGUGAAGAAUCUGCCUUCAACUCUGGGAUAACUCCGGGAAACCGGGGCUAAUACCGGAUAUGAGCCUUGAUCGCAUGAUUGGGGCUGGAAAGUUUUUCGGUUGAAGAUGACUUCGCGGCCUAUCAGCUUGUUGGUGAGGUAAUGGCUCACCAAGGCGACGACGGGUAGCCGGCCUGAGAGGGCGACCGGCCACACUGGGACUGAGACACGGCCCAGACUCCUACGGGAGGCAGCAGUGGGGAAUAUUGGGCAAUGGAGGAAACUCUGACCCAGCGACGCCGCGUGAGGGAUGAAGGCC